Molecule: ribosomal RNA, 253 nt
Filed under: uncultured bacterium
Lineage: Bacteria
Description: partial 16S ribosomal RNA
Rfam family: Bacterial small subunit ribosomal RNA
Source: RNAcentral
UACGGAGGAUCCGAGCGUUAUCCGGAUUUAUUGGGUUUAAAGGGUGCGUAGGCGGACCCGUAAGUCAGUGGUGAAAGUUUGCAGCUUAACUGUAAAAUUGCCAUUGAAACUAUGGGUCUUGAGUGUAAAUGAGGUAGGCGGAAUGUGUUGUGUAGCGGUGAAAUGCUUAGAUAUAACACAGAACACCAAUUGCGAAGGCAGCUUACUGGGAUACAACUGACGCUGAGGCACGAAAGCGUGGGGAUCAAACAGG